This 253-nucleotide ribosomal RNA is filed under the name uncultured bacterium. RNAcentral describes it as "partial 16S ribosomal RNA". It matches the Rfam family "Bacterial small subunit ribosomal RNA", at positions 524 to 776 of the family's 1533-position model. The record is from RNAcentral.
UACAGAGGUCUCAAGCGUUGUUCGGAUUCAUUGGGCGUAAAGGGUGCGUAGGCGGCGCGGUAAGUCGGGUGUGAAAUCUCGGAGCUUAACUCCGAAACUGCAUUCGAUACUGCCGUGCUUGAGGACUGGAGAGGAGACUGGAAUUUACGGUGUAGCGGUGAAAUGCGUAGAUAUCUGGAGGAACACCGGUGGCGAAGGCGGCAUUCUGGACCGAAACUGACGCUGAGGCGCGAAAGCCAGGGGAGCAAACGGG